GGGUUGUGAGGUUAAGCGAACAAGCGUACACGGUGGAUGCCCUGGCAGUCAGAGGCGAUGAAGGACGUGCUAAUCUGCGAAAAGCGCCGGUAAGGUGAUAUGAACCGUUAUAACCGGCGAUGUCCGAAUGGGGAAACCCGGUGCACUUCGGUGCAUCAUCGUUAGCUGAAUACAUAGGCUAACGAAGCGAACCGGGGGAACUGAAACAUCUAAGUACCCCGAGGAAAAGAAAUCAACCGAGAUUCCCCCAGUAGCGGCGAGCGAACGGGGAACAGCCCAGAGCCUGAAUCAGCUUGUGUGUCAGUGGAACGGUCUGGAAAGGCCGGCGAUACAGGGUGACAGCCCCGUACACGAAGGCACACAGGCUGUGAGCUCGAUGAGUAGGGCGGGACACGUGAUAUCCUGUCUGAAGAUGGGGGGACCAUCCUCCAAGGCUAAAUACUCCUGACUGACCGAUAGUGAACCAGUACCGUGAGGGAAAGGCGAAAAGAACCCCGGCGAGGGGAGUGAAACAGAACCUGAAACCGUGUACGUACAAGCAGUGGGAGCCUUCGUAAGAGGGUGACUGCGUACCUUUUGUAUAAUGGGUCAGCGACUUAUAUUCUGUAGCAAGGUUAACCGUAUAGGGGAGCCGAAGGGAAACCGAGUCUUAACCGGGCGUUAAGUUGCAGGGUAUAGACCCGAAACCCGGUGAUCUAGCCAUGGGCAGGUUGAAGGUUGGGUAACACUAACUGGAGGACCGAACCGACUAAUGUUGAAAAAUUAGCGGAUGACCUGUGGCUGGGGGUGAAAGGCCAAUCAAACCGGGAGAUAGCUGGUUCUCCCCGAAAGCUAUUUAGGUAGCGCCUCGUGAACUCAUCUCCGGGGGUAGAGCACUGUUUCGGCUAGGGGGCCAUCCCGGCUUACCAACCCGAUGCAAACUGCGAAUACCGGAGAAUGUUAUCACGGGAGACACACGGCGGGUGCUAACGUCCGUCGUGAAGAGGGAAACAACCCAGACCGCCAGCUAAGGUCCCAAAGUCAUGGUUAAGUGGGAAACGAUGUGGGAAGGCCCAGACAGCCAGGAUGUUGGCUUAGAAGCAGCCAUCAUUUAAAGAAAGCGUAAUAGCUCACUGGUCGAGUCGGCCUGCGCGGAAGAUGUAACGGGGCUAAACCAUGCACCGAAGCUGCGGCAGCGACGCUUAUGCGUUGUUGGGUAGGGGAGCGUUCUGUAAGCCUGCGAAGGUGUGCUGUGAGGCAUGCUGGAGGUAUCAGAAGUGCGAAUGCUGACAUAAGUAACGAUAAAGCGGGUGAAAAGCCCGCUCGCCGGAAGACCAAGGGUUCCUGUCCAACGUUAAUCGGGGCAGGGUGAGUCGACCCCUAAGGCGAGGCCGAAAGGCGUAGUCGAUGGGAAACAGGUUAAUAUUCCUGUACUUGGUGUUACUGCGAAGGGGGGACGGAGAAGGCUAUGUCGGCCGGGCGACGGUUGUCCCGGUUUAAGCGUGUAGGCUGACUUUCCAGGCAAAUCCGGAAAGUUAAGGCUGAGGCGUGAUGACGAGGCACUACGGUGCUGAAGUGACAAAUGCCCUGCUUCCAGGAAAAGCCUCUAAGCAUCAGGUAACAUCAAAUCGUACCCCAAACCGACACAGGUGGUCAGGUAGAGAAUACCAAGGCGCUUGAGAGAACUCGGGUGAAGGAACUAGGCAAAAUGGUGCCGUAACUUCGGGAGAAGGCACGCUGACAUGUAGGUGAAGCCCCUGCGGGUGGAGCUGAAGUCAGUCGAAGAUACCAGCUGGCUGCAACUGUUUAUUAAAAACACAGCACUGUGCAAACACGAAAGUGGACGUAUACGGUGUGACGCCUGCCCGGUGCCGGAAGGUUAAUUGAUGGGGUUAUCGCAAGAGAAGCUCCUGAUCGAAGCCCCGGUAAACGGCGGCCGUAACUAUAACGGUCCUAAGGUAGCGAAAUUCCUUGUCGGGUAAGUUCCGACCUGCACGAAUGGCGUAAUGAUGGCCAGGCUGUCUCCACCCGAGACUCAGUGAAAUUGAACUCGCUGUGAAGAUGCAGUGUACCCGCGGCAAGACGGAAAGACCCCGUGAACCUUUACUACAGCUUGACACUGAACAUUGAGCCUUGAUGUGUAGGAUAGGUGGGAGGCUUUGAAGCGUGGACGCCAGUCUGCGUGGAGCCGACCUUGAAAUACCACCCUUUAAUGUUUGAUGUUCUAACCUGGCGCCGUGAUCCGGCGUGGGGACAGUGUCUGGUGGGUAGUUUGACUGGGGCGGUCUCCUCCCAAAGUGUAACGGAGGAGCACGAAGGUCAGCUAAUCCUGGUCGGACAUCAGGAGGUUAGUGCAAUGGCAUAAGCUGGCUUGACUGCGAGAGUGACGGCUCGAGCAGGUGCGAAAGCAGGUCAUAGUGAUCCGGUGGUUCUGUAUGGAAGGGCCAUCGCUCAACGGAUAAAAGGUACUCCGGGGAUAACAGGCUGAUACCGCCCAAGAGUUCAUAUCGACGGCGGUGUUUGGCACCUCGAUGUCGGCUCAUCACAUCCUGGGGCUGAAGUAGGUCCCAAGGGUAUGGCUGUUCGCCAUUUAAAGUGGUACGCGAGCUGGGUUUAGAACGUCGUGAGACAGUUCGGUCCCUAUCUGCCGUGGGCGCUGGAGAAUUGAGGGGGGCUGCUCCCAGUACGAGAGGACCGGAGUGGACGCAUCACUGGUGUUCGGGUUGUCAUGCCAAUGGCACUGCCCGGUAGCUAAAUGCGGAAGAGAUAAGUGCUGAAAGCAUCUAAGCACGAAACUUGCCCCGAGAUGAGUUCUCCCUGAGACUAUAAGUCUCCUGAAGGAACGUUGAAGACGACGACGUUGAUAGGCCGGGUGUGUAAGCGCAGCGAUGCGUUGAGCUAACCGGUACUAAUGAACCGUGAGGCUUAACCUUACAACGCCAAAGAAGU
This 2928-nucleotide ribosomal RNA is filed under the name Cronobacter sakazakii. Its description in RNAcentral is "bacterial LSU rRNA". It matches the Rfam family "Bacterial large subunit ribosomal RNA". Lineage: Bacteria; Pseudomonadati; Pseudomonadota; Gammaproteobacteria; Enterobacterales; Enterobacteriaceae. The record is from RNAcentral.